GAUGAACGCUAGCGGGAGGCUUAAUACAUGCAAGUCGAGCGAGAAUGUUUUUAGCUUGCUAGAAACAGGACAGCGGCGCACGGGUGAGUAACGCGUACGCAAUCUACCUCAUAGAGGGGAAUAGCCCCGGGAAACUGGGAUUAAUGCCCCAUGGCACUUUGAAGUGGCAUCACUUUAAAGUUAAAGAUCCGUCGCUAUGAGAUGAGCGUGCGUGCUAUUAGCUAGUUGGUAAGGUAACGGCUUACCAAGGCUACGAUAGCUAGGGGGCGUGAGAGCGUGACCCCCCACACGGGUACUGAGACACGGACCCGACUCCUACGGGAGGCAGCAGUAAGGAAUAUUGGACAAUGGGCGCAAGCCUGAUCCAGCCAUCCCGCGUGAAGGAUGACGGCCCUACGGGUUGUAAACUUCUUUUAUUUGAGAAGAAACCCCGAGAUUUAUCUCGGGCUGACGGUAUCUUAUGAAUAAGCACCGGCUAACUCCG
Molecule: ribosomal RNA, 484 nt
Filed under: uncultured Lewinella sp.
Lineage: Bacteria; Pseudomonadati; Bacteroidota; Saprospiria; Saprospirales; Lewinellaceae
Description: bacterial SSU rRNA
Rfam family: Bacterial small subunit ribosomal RNA
Source: RNAcentral